Molecule: non-coding RNA, 78 nt
Organism: Megalops atlanticus (tarpon)
Lineage: Eukaryota; Metazoa; Chordata; Actinopteri; Elopiformes; Megalopidae
Source: the annotation of a GenBank genome assembly
GGCAGUGUACCAUAGUGAUAAGGAGCUGGGCUCGUAACCAAGAGGUUGCUAGUUCGAUUCCCUGCUGGAUCACUGCUG